Molecule: ribosomal RNA, 442 nt
Filed under: uncultured bacterium
Lineage: Bacteria
Description: partial 16S ribosomal RNA
Rfam family: Bacterial small subunit ribosomal RNA
Source: RNAcentral
CCUACGGGUGGCAGCAGUGGGGGAUAUUGCACAAUGGGCGAAACCCUGAUGCAGCGACGCCGCGUGGGCGAAGAAGUAUUUCGGUAUGUAAAGCCCUAUCAGCAGGGAAGAAGAAAUGCCGGUACCUGCGUAAGAAGCACCGGCUAAAGACGUGCCAGCAGCCGCGGUAAUACGUAGGGUGCAAGCGUUAUCCGGAUUUACUGCGUGAAAAGGGAGCGCAGGCGGGACGGGAAGCCUGAUGGGAGAGCCCGCGGCCCAACCGCGGUAAUGCAUUGGGAACUACUGGGCUGGAGUGCCGGAGAGGUAGGCGGAAGUCGUAGUGUAGCGGUGAAAUGCGUAGAUAUUAGGAGGAACACCAGUGGCGAAGGCAGCAUACUGGACGGCGACUGACGCUGAGGCUCGAAAGCGUGGGGAGCAAACAGGAUUAGAUACCCGGGUAGUC